This 502-nucleotide ribosomal RNA is filed under the name uncultured bacterium. Its description in RNAcentral is "partial 16S ribosomal RNA". It matches the Rfam family "Bacterial small subunit ribosomal RNA", at positions 29 to 507 of the family's 1533-position model. The record is from RNAcentral.
AGCGAACGCUGGCGGCGUGCCUAACACAUGCAAGUCGAACGAGAAAGCGAGCAAUCCCAAGUAAUGUGGUGUACGGGUGAGUAAUACGUAGGUAAUCUACCCCAGAACCUGGAGUAACCGGCCGAAAGGCUGGCUAAUACUGGAUAGAGCGACGGAUUUUGUAAUUGGUUUUUUCGUGGAAGGAAGCCUGUAUAAAGGCCUUCGUUCUGGGAUGCGCCUGCGUCCCAUCAGUUAGUUGGUGAGGGGAAAGCUUACCCAGGCAAUGAAGGGUGGCCGGACGGGGAGGACGGACCGCCCACCUGGGAACGGAACACGGUCCAGACUCCUACCGGAGGCAGCAGGUGGGGAACUUGCGCAAUGGGGGGAAGUCUGGCGCAAGAACCCCGCGGUGGUGGAGGAGGCCCUCGGGUUGGAAAGACCGGUCUAGUGGGACGAAACUGCUUGGAGUGCACAGAUGCAGGUACUGACGGUACCUAUAAAGGAAGCACCGGCUAACUACGUG